AUGAAACGCGAGGGCAGGGCUCUCUGUUUGAGGAAAGUCGAGCGCCACAUGUUUACGAACGUGCGCGGACACUCUUCAAGUGUACCUUUUGCUUUAUUGGUCUCAGUUAUCAUCCCAUCGUCCUGGAACAAGACUGGUAUGUUCACUCGCAGCUCCAAGAAGAGAGAAUCCAGUAGAACGCUGAACACCCUUGCUGAAUCAGAGAGUGAACAGCUGUGUAGCUGUGUGGAGACCAGUGACCGGGCUUCAUUCUGCACCAAUGGAGGUAGGGACCCUCUCUCUCCUUCUCUAUUUAUACACUUACCCUUACUUUUACAGGGCAUCUCGCUACUCCCUCCCUGCCAAAAACUUCAGUUAGUAUCAGUUAAAAGAUUCAGUGGUGGUAGUUGGUAAGGUGGAAUAGUGCUGGCUCCUUGUUUGAGAAAACAUCAUGAGAAAACUCUGAAUACAUACUGCUCUUGAAUAGUAUAGACCAUAUCUCUAUUCCAGUUUGAGGCAUUGGACACUUCCUUCUCUGCUAGAGCACUGGUCUGGAGGACACCUGUGGGUUACUGAAGCCCUCAUGUGUUCAGGUUUUAAUGGACUCAGCCAUGCAUAUCAGAGUCAGCAAGGCAUUGUUCAUUAUCUGUGUGCCCUAACAUAAGUUGACUUUAAGAAAGCCAUUCAUGCAGUAUGGGAUAUUUGAAGCAGUCAUUCUACACAUGCUCUCCGCUUGUAUUUGUUUUAGAGUGAAAGGAAUGAGCGUUGGGUAGACUUUCAUAUGCAGCACUUAUAAACUGUAUUGUGUUUAGGUAUGAUUCACUAUGAGGCUAUAUAUUAAGACAACAUUAAUUUUCCAGAACUGUUUAAAAUAGUUGAACUGUGUGUGUGCAAACUUUAUUACAAGAGUUAUUAGUUAAACUGGGUGUGACAAACAAAAGCUCUAUUCAGUGUUAAAUCGGGGCACUCAUCGAUUAUUGAAAGCAAUACCUUUUACCUCUACAUGAUGGUUUCAUUUCUUCCAAGAAGAAGUAGACAUCCCUCUAUGUGACACGUCCUCUAUCAGCAAUGUAAGCAGCCCUAAUGAAGGCCAAGCCUGGUCUGUCUGUAAAAGAGGGUCUACAAUGAGAGAGGAGGGGCUGCCAGUCUAGGCAGAGGCUCAUCAGGCCUCCAUUCUGUAAACUAUUACAGGGCAACAGCCAACCUCUGGAAUGUGCCUUUAAUUGCCUGUGUUUGCAGUGCCACAAUAAAAGUAAACCUUUUCCCGACAAACCAACCCAACGGCAGACAUUUCUUACAGACGGCCUUGAAAACUCUGCUUUGUGUGCAGAAGCUAGAACAGUGCGAGGGAACUUUAUGGCUACGAACAUCACUGAACUCCUUUGUUCCUUCCUAAAAGAAAACACUCCAACCAGUCUCUUCCUCCCUGGUUCUCAGCAAAGUAUGUUUUCAUGCCGAUUGAUAUAGAUAUGGGUGUUUUAUUUUGAAUGGGGACUUUAGCUGACCUCAGUGUUGGAGAUUAGGUAAUCGGAGAAGGCAGGUGCGUACAUAGUAUAGACAGUACUGUAGCUAGGCUACUAUAUAACCUUGCUGUUUAUUAACUAAGAGUGACAAAACUGCUAAGUCAACACAGGGACCUGCAAGACUGCCAAAAUCAGACCUUGAAUUGUCUCCCUGGGAAAUGAUUGAUGAUGUUCAUGGUGUAUAUG
This is a long non-coding RNA of Oncorhynchus mykiss (rainbow trout), 1688 nucleotides long. Lineage: Eukaryota; Metazoa; Chordata; Actinopteri; Salmoniformes; Salmonidae. The record is from Ensembl.